AGUGUUUCAUGCAUUCGUCGAUGUCCCACUUCCCGGUCAACACGGACAUGAUAAAGCAGAGUACCGUUCUGUCCGAGUUGAUCGUUUCACCUGUCCGUGCCGUCGAGAAGGAGCUGAUCCAUCCGAUUGUCAAUUUUGGCGAGUUGGGACCGAUUCGAUACACGGCCUACAUGUGUCCGUAAAUCCACUUCAUCGACGGCGGACGUUGUUCCAGUGCCCGGAACGUACGACAUUGUGAUCACCAAGGACUACUGCCGGAAUAACAGCCCGUCGAAGGUACUGGCGAUGCUGUUCGUGAUUGACAAUAAGGCCGGGCUGGUUCAAUUGCUGUGCGCGGAGUUCAAGAACAACAUUCGUCACUUGCCCGUGGAUGAGGGACAGGAGCGUGCUUCGAUUAAGGUCCAUGAAGCUUCAUCACUUACAGUCCCAGAUGGCGGUCGUCGGAGAUGUCCAGGAAAUGUUCAUGCCCUGCUGUUCACAUCCUGCUCGGACCAGCGCCAGCUGCGCGUGUUUAAUCUGAGCCUGAAGACGUGCAACCAGUUGGUGGAUAUUUUCCGCAGUAGCGAUUUGGAUACGACCAAUCUGUUCUUCGCCAAGCAGGGCCUGUUCAAGCUGCAGGAUAAUAAGCCGUAGGCAAUCAAGGACAGCCUGAUCAUGAGGGCGGCCCAGAUUUUGGCCUGCUACCGGAAGAACUGGGCAUCGUCUACGUCCGCCGACCAGCUCGUCUUGCCGAAUUGCGUGAAAUCGCUACCACUGUACAUUAAGUGUCUGCUGAGAACGUCGUCUUUUCGAGGGGUAUAAGGAUUCCACUCUGAACGACCGAUCUUACGUGAUCUACUUUGUGCAGCGCAGGUGCUGACAUCGGUUCCGGACUUUUACCCGUGGUUGACGCCGGUGCACGGAAAUCAGAGCGAUAUUCGUUCGAAUAUCUGUUGGUGUGCUAUUCGUAUCUGUCCGGAAUAUCAUUCGAUUCACAAUUAUCCUGUGCCACGUGAUGCUGAACGGUUUUGAAACAAGCUGGACAAGACCUUCAAGACAUCCAUCAAGGAACGUGGAGGAAGCGAAGAAAAUGUCCAUAGAAAAAUCAAACGAGAACUGCCCAAACUCAUGAAAGGAUGUUUCGAUGCUAUCCCGGGUUCGUCCGGUUCUGCAACCACGAAGGAUCGUCGUCCAAUUUGGAAAGCAGUGCUGAAAACUAGACUAGACUAGAAUUACGACGGGAAGGUGCACGGGAAUAAAGAAGGGAGUUUCUUUUCUUUAAAUCGGGACUAGUAAAACCGACACGCUUAUGAGCAAGUAAAAGAGGAAGAAUCGGUUGCGUUCAGUUCAAGAAAGACUCGAGCUAGAAUCACGUGUAAAACUUGACCGUCCGUGCAAAACUUAGACGCAACACUUUGGAAAAAGUUAUACAAUUGCAACAGCGACUAAUAAAUUUUGGUGUGAUAUUGAGUGGGAUGCGUUUUCUUUUAUAAAAAUAGCAUCCGCUGAGGGAAACUAACGUGCAUAAAUCAAUUAAUUCUUUUUUUAUAGUUUUAUUCAAAUCCUUUGUAAUAAAUCUGUUUUCGUCGAGCGUGGUGAAUAACUGGUUGAGUGCG
Molecule: RNA transcript, 1595 nt
Organism: Culex quinquefasciatus (southern house mosquito)
Lineage: Eukaryota; Metazoa; Arthropoda; Insecta; Diptera; Culicidae
Gene name: protein transport protein Sec24C
Exons: 3
Source: RefSeq, a predicted model, not a curated record